GCAGUUGCUUAACCAACUGAGCCACCCUCGUGCCCUUUUCAGCUGGUUGUCAUGGCAUGCGUCAAGAGAAUCUUGGUGCCAGGGUACUCUGGACUAGCAUGGGAAUCUACUGCUAUCUAGAUAUAGGUAAUUAUUUUGCUGCCUUAUAAUGAAGUGGGACAUUGAGUAAAGGAAAUCGCCUUCUCACAAAUGCGAACAAAGCUUAGUGAUAGACUUGUGAUGAAAUUCUGAACCCUGCACAGACACGUCUUUGAAGGAUGCUGCCUGGAUUAGGCAACGAAGAUCUUUAUCAUGUAAAACUAAAUAAAAAAGUAAAGCUAAAU
Molecule: long non-coding RNA, 323 nt
Organism: Mustela erminea (ermine)
Lineage: Eukaryota; Metazoa; Chordata; Mammalia; Carnivora; Mustelidae
Exons: 2
Source: RefSeq, a predicted model, not a curated record